CUUCACCGACCCAAGCCACAACGGCAGAUCCCGGUCCUGCCCAUACGUCGCCAGCAACGCCUGCGCCUC
RNAcentral lists this antisense RNA (69 nucleotides) under Kibdelosporangium aridum. Its description in RNAcentral is "ASpks TB sRNA". It matches the Rfam family "ASpks TB sRNA". Lineage: Bacteria; Bacillati; Actinomycetota; Actinomycetes; Pseudonocardiales; Pseudonocardiaceae. The record is from Rfam by way of RNAcentral.